RNAcentral lists this ribosomal RNA (397 nucleotides) under uncultured bacterium. RNAcentral's name for it is "bacterial SSU rRNA". It matches the Rfam family "Bacterial small subunit ribosomal RNA", at positions 28 to 418 of the family's 1533-position model. The record is from RNAcentral.
GACGAACGCUGGCGGCGUGCUUAACACAUGCAAGUGGAGCGACGAACCGGGCUUCGGCCCGGGGCAGAGCCGCGAACGGGUGAGUAACACGUGGGUAACGUGCCCCGACGAUCGGGACAACCCGGGGAAACCCGGGCUAAUACCGAAUGAACCCUUCUGACCCAAGUCGGACGGGGAAAGGUAGCUUCGGCUUCCGCGUCGGGAUCGGCCCGCGGCCCAUUAGCUUGUUGGUGAGGUAACGGCUCACCAAGGCUUCGAUGGGUAGCUGGUCUGAGAGGACGAUCAGCCACACUGGGACUGAGACACGGCCCAGACUCCUACGGGAGGCAGCAGUGGGGAAUCUUGCGCAAUGCGCGAAAGCGUGACGCAGCAACGCCGCGUGAGGGAAGACGGCCUC